Molecule: ribosomal RNA, 293 nt
Filed under: uncultured bacterium
Lineage: Bacteria
Description: partial 16S ribosomal RNA
Source: RNAcentral
GGACUACACGGGUAUCUAAUCCCGUUCGCUCCCCACGCUUUCGCACCUCAGCGUCAGUGUUAGGCCAGGCAGCUGCCUUCGCCAUCGGUGUUCCUCAGGAUAUCUACGCAUUUCACCGCUACACCCUGAAUUCCACUGCCCCCUCCCACACUCAAGUCCCCCAGUCUCCAAGGCACUGUUCGCGUUGAGCGCUGAACCUUUCACCCCAGACUUAAGAGACCGCCUACGCGCGCUUUACGCCCAGUAACUUCGGACAACGCUCGCCCCCUACGUAUUACCGCGGCGGCUGGCAC